This 2908-nucleotide long non-coding RNA is filed under the name Mus musculus (house mouse). RNAcentral describes it as "zinc finger protein 85, opposite strand (Zfp85os)". The record is from RNAcentral. Lineage: Eukaryota; Metazoa; Chordata; Mammalia; Rodentia; Muridae.
GUGUGAGCAAGUGAAAUUGGAAAGAAACAGGCACAUGGGCAGCCACAGGGCAUUCGGGCUCUUUUGAAGUGCUGUGGUCUCAGCAAGGGAUGUUAGCCUGUGAGUCGAGCCUUUCUCAGUAAUGUUAAUUAUACAUGCUAGUUAUUUCUGCUAAAACGUGAUUUUAAAGCUCAAAUCUACUUAUGAAAUCAUACUAACACAUGGGAAAUCAUGCUUUCAUGGUCUGCUUUACUUAAAAAUAAGGAAGCAGGAAGGUAAUGUAGGACUGAGCAUUUCUUUAAUGAAACCACGCUUGGUGAUCCCGCCUGACAUGCAGCAUCUCAGGUGCUUAAGACAGAAGAACAGGAAAUCAAAACUAGUCACCACCGGGUGUUCUCUGAGCACAGGCUUUCCUCCUCCCCAUCUCCCAGCAGGAGGCGCAGAGCUCCUGGGAUCACACUGACAAUCCCCCCUGUUCUGAGGCUCAACUGGACUACGCUGCACAUAAGUGCAUAUACAUGUGAACCAAUGUAGCGCCUCUACUUUCCUUGCUUUGCAAGACCUUCUGCAGCCUGUCAAAAGAUUUCCUGAUGAUGACGGCACAAUGCAAAGUCACGGGUGUUCCCUGAGCAGUCUGCAGCAGUUCUUUCUAGCUCCAAAUUUUCAGAUGUGUGUGAAUGUGAGGGUUCUGUCACAGUGGGUAAAGGAGUGAUUCCUAUCCAAAGUGAGCCGCCCUGAAAACAAUUUAUCACAAAGAAAACGGGACGAACAUCCCAUACACCAAACUCCCCCGCCAGAACUCACUGUCCUGGAAACUAUGAGCCACACGAACUCAAAACAAGAGUCCUGGGCCUGUCAUAGAAUAUGGGAGGGCUCAGAAAAACCCACUUGCUCUAGAUUUCCUGAGGGAUCUGACAACAGCAAUGUGAAAGCUAGUAACAGCAAGCUUCCCCAGCCAAGGUGCUGUGUGAGCUUUCAUCACAGCCUGUCUCUGGCAUGGUCAGCCAAGCCACCCCUAAGCCUAGAUCUGCACUGCACAUCCAAAUGGGCUUCUCUCCGCCUCCUGCCCAGCCCUCCCCCGCUCCCUGCACGCCGGACCCGCCUACCCGCAGAGUUCCUGGAUUUGCAAGUCUAGGCUGCACCCGGGACCAACCUUCAUGUUAAGCGCGAAGAACAAGCCACACUGUCCCAACUUUGAGAACACCGCAGAGUUUGGAGAAUCACAAACGUAAAAAGAACCCGGAAGCACAGAGAGCAGAGUCCUGUCUAGCGGGGUCAUACAGAAAGAGAGAGAGAGACUACAUUUCCCAGAAGUCUACGCGAAGGACUACCCGGAACCAAAGAAGGCAAAGAAUUUAAAGCGCAUGGAUUGUAUGUAACUGGAAUUAGGCUGCUUUUAAAAAUCCCAAAUUUACAAAGGGCAUUUUGAGAAUAUGAGUCCAGCCUUUAACGGUAAUAUGUAUUAGAUUUACUUCUUACUCUGAUCAAUGCUGUGACUUAAAAAGCUCAGGGGUUCCUAGAAUCUUAUGGGGGGCAGAAAAAAAAUCACAUUGAGUCAAUUUUACUUUAAAAUAACGGAGCAAGAAGCUACUUUAGGGCACACCACAAACUCUUUAGGAUAGUUUUUGAAACCAAGUUUCCUGGAAAUAUUCUGAAAUCUCAGCUACUCUGGGGUUUGAGACAGAAGAAUCACAAGUCUAUGUCCCAAAUUACACAGUACCAAAAGAGAUGGGGGCUACUCACUGGUGAAGCACUUGCCUGGAGUGAAGGAGGCCUUGGUUUAAUACCCAUUAUGACACUAAAUCAAAGAGGAAAAAAAAAUAACCGAACAGAUUUGAUGUGUACACUGAAAUCCACGGUUUGGGGCGUGGACUAGGGAACACAGAUGUCUCUUACCUAUAAGUCCCAGAAACCCUUUGAGAUUUUCAUCUGUCCUUAGUCCCCUUGUCCACACGUUCCUCCGAUAUCCGUGUAAACAAUUUAACAUUUGAGAGAGCUUCACCAGAUUCUCUUUCACAAUCUCAUACAACUAUUCACCACCAAAUGUUCUUCCUGGCUCCUCUCCCAGUUAGAGGAAAACUGGUCUUGGAAUCAGUAUGGUGUGUGAACUGACUCCUGACCCACUAUCCAACACUCAUCAUAAGAUUUCUCUCUGUAUUACUUCGGAUCUGCCCUAUUCAACUUCCAGUCUCUUUCUGGACUCCUUACAUUACUCCCAUUCAUGUGGAAGUACUUAAAGGUUCUUUUGUUUUGUUUUGUUUUUUGCUUGAAGUUCACUCUAUUCCCUCAUCUCAUAACACAGGAAUGAAUCUUCCUUUAAUACAAAGGUAUCAGAAAUAUGUUCCUGAUCAUACAGAAUGAACUCAUUGCAAGAAAGGGGCUGGACUGACACCACGGAGUGAUGGGACUCCCUAUCUCGUGUGUAUGUAUUCCUGUACUGGUAACAUCUGAGACCCAACGAUAAACCCCACGAGAGGAAAGAGUUUGUUUUCGUGCCAUGGUCACUGAUUCACAAUGAGAUUACUUCUUGGAUGAGAGAGUGGGAAGAUCAGAUUGUUCUUUUUUUGUUUCAUCACCAGAAAGAAAUUGUGCUGGGUUUUAUAUCAAUUUGACACAAGCUAAAGUCAUCAGAGGAGGAAGCCUCAGUGAGAAAAAGCCUCUAUAUGGUUGGGCUGUGGGCAAGCCUGUAGGGCAUUUCAUCUUCACAAUAAGUAAUAGAUGUAGGAGGGCCUAGGAUGUUGUGGGUGGUGCCAACCUUGGGCUGGGGUCCUGGGUUCUCUAAGAAUCAGGCUGAGUAAGCAACACCUCUCCAUGGCCUUGCAUCUGCUCCUGCUUCCAGAUUCCUGCCCUGUUUGAGGUUCUGUCUUGGCUUUCUCCAAUGGACAGUAGUCCAGGAUAUGUAAACCAAAUAAACCCUCUUGUCCCCGUG